GACGAACGCUGGCGGCGUGCCUAAUACAUGCAAGUUGAGCGCUGAAGGUUGGUACUUGUACCAACUGGAUGAGCAGCGAACGGGUGAGUAACGCGUGGGGAAUCUGCCUUUGAGCGGGGGACAACAUUUGGAGACGAAUGCUAAUACCGCAUAAAAACUUUAAACACAAGUUUUAAGUUUGAAAGAUGCAAUUGCAUCACUCAAAGAUGAUCCCGCGUUGCAUUAGCUAGUUGGUGAGGUAAAGGCUCACCAAGGCGAUGAUACAUAGCCGACCUGAGAGGGUGAUCGGCCACAUUGGGACUGAGACACGGCCCAAACUCCUACGGGAGGCAGCAGUAGGGAAUCUUCGGCAAUGGACGAAAGUCUGACCGAGCAACGCCGCGUGAGUGAAGAAGGUUUUCGGAUCGUAAAACUCUGUUGGUAGAGAAGAACGUUGGUGAGAGUGGAAAGCUCAUCAAGUGACGGUAACUACCCAGAAAGGGACGGCUAACUACGUG
This 497-nucleotide ribosomal RNA is filed under the name uncultured bacterium. Its description in RNAcentral is "partial 16S ribosomal RNA". It matches the Rfam family "Bacterial small subunit ribosomal RNA", at positions 28 to 507 of the family's 1533-position model. The record is from RNAcentral.